RNAcentral lists this ribosomal RNA (218 nucleotides) under uncultured bacterium. Its description in RNAcentral is "partial 16S ribosomal RNA". It matches the Rfam family "Bacterial small subunit ribosomal RNA", at positions 328 to 539 of the family's 1533-position model. The record is from RNAcentral.
ACGCUCGACACCUACUGGAGGCAGCAGUGAGGAAUAUUGGUCAAUGGACGCAAGUCUGAACCAGCCAUGCCGCGUGCAGGAUGACGGCUCUAUGAGUUGUAAACUGCUUUUGUACGAGGGUAAACGCAGAUACGUGUAUCUGUCUGAAAGUAUCGUACGAAUAAGGAUCGGCUAACUCCGUGUCAGCAGCCGCGGUAAUCUGAGCGGGCUGGCAAGGC